Molecule: long non-coding RNA, 526 nt
Filed under: Carica papaya (papaya)
Lineage: Eukaryota; Viridiplantae; Streptophyta; Magnoliopsida; Brassicales; Caricaceae
Description: long non-coding RNA (CPAP_LNC015076)
Source: RNAcentral
CAGCUUUUAAGAUUGAAGUUAGAAUAUGAGGGACUUUUAAAGAAAAAACUUGGAGCUAUGAUUUUAAGAAUGGUUGCAAGGAAAAGCAAAGAUUGCUAUUAUCUUAUUUGUCUCUGGAAAACCACCGCUCAUAGUUAGAAUUUGCAAUAUGUUGUUCUACAAAUAUUUGCAGAACAUUUCAACAUAUUGACAUAUAUGAACAUUUCAGCAUACUGCAGAGUUAGAAAGAUUCAACCAAAAGAGGGAAUUGUUUCUUGUUGCCUAAGUGUUCCAUAAAGAAAACAUCAAGACAAAUUUAACUAGAUUGAAUAUCGUGUGAACGUGCUAUCAUAUGCUGAGAAGUUGACAAAAUGUCUUCCGCAUUAUUUGCAAAGGAUUGAUAUAUGAAACAGGCAACUUGCUAGGAGUUCCAGUGGAUAUUAUGUUGCAUAUUCAAGCAUCAAAAGUCAUAAAUUCUUUUGCUUUUUUUUUUUUUGCAACUUUUUUUCUGCACAUCAUUUACAGAGAAUUAUGAAAUAGUUGUGAC